Molecule: ribosomal RNA, 1353 nt
Filed under: Mycetocola manganoxydans
Lineage: Bacteria; Bacillati; Actinomycetota; Actinomycetes; Micrococcales; Microbacteriaceae
Description: bacterial SSU rRNA
Rfam family: Bacterial small subunit ribosomal RNA
Source: RNAcentral
CGGUAUAAUGGCGAACGGGUGAGUAACACGUGAGUAACCUGCCCUUGACUCUGGGAUAAGCGUUGGAAACGACGUCUAAUACCGGAUACGACCAGCCCUGGCAUCGGGUGUUGGUGGAAAGAACUUUGGUCAAAGGAUGGACUCGCGGCCUAUCCAGGUAGUUGGUGAGGUAAUGGCUCACCAAGCCUACGGACGGGUAGCCGGCCUGAGAGGGUGACCGGCCACACUGGGACUGAGACACGGSCCCAGACUCCUACGGGGAGGCAGCAGUGGGGAAUAUUGCACAAUGGGCGAAAGCCUGAUGCAGCAACGCCGCGUGAGGGACGACGGCCUUCCGGGUUGUAAACCUCUUUUAGCAGGGAAGAAGCGAAAGUGACGGUACCUGCAGAAAAAGCACCGGCUAACUACGUGCCAGCAGCCGCGGUAAUACGUAGGGUGCAAGCGUUGUCCGGAAUUAUUGGGCGUAAAGAGCUCGUAGGCGGUUUGUCGCGUCUGCUGUGAAAACCCGAGGCUCAACCUCGGGCCUGCAGUGGGUACGGGCAGACUAGAGUGCGGUAGGGGAGAUUGGAAUUCCUGGUGUAGCGGUGGAAUGCGCAGAUAUCAGGAGGAACACCGAUGGCGAAGGCAGAUCUCUGGGCCGUUACUGACGCUGAGGAGCGAAAGGGUGGGGAGCAAACAGGCUUAGAUACCCUGGUAGUCCACCCCGUAAACGUUGGGAACUAGAUGUGGGGACCAUUCCACGGUCUCCGUGUCGCAGCUAACGCAUUAAGUUCCCCGCCUGGGGAGUACGGCCGCAAGGCUAAAACUCAAAGGAAUUGACGGGGGCCCGCACAAGCGGCGGAGCAUGCGGAUUAAUUCGAUGCAACGCGAAGAACCUUACCAAGGCUUGACAUAUACCGGAAACGGCGAGAGAUCGUCGCCCCGCAAGGUCGGUAUACAGGUGGUUGCAUGGUUGUCGUCAGCUCGUGUCGUGAGAUGGUUGGGUUAAGUCCCGCAACGAGCGCAACCCUCGUUCUAUGUUGCCAGCACGUAAUGGUGGGAACUCAUGGGAUACUGCCGGGGUCAACUCGGAGGAAGGUGGGGACGACGUCAAAUCAUCAUGCCCCUUAUGUCUUGGGCUUCACGCAUGCUACAAUGGCCAGUACAAAGGGCUGCAAUACCGUAAGGUGGAGCGAAUCCCAAAAAGCUGGUCCCAGUUCGGAUUGAGGUCUGCAACUCGACCUCAUGAAGUCGGAGUCGCUAGUAAUCGCAGAUCAGCAACGCUGCGGUGAAUACGUUCCCGGGCCUUGUACACACCGCCCGUCAAGUCAUGAAAGUCGGUAACACCCUGAGUUCGGUCGCGUAUCCUUAAGU